UGGCGGACGGGUGAGUAAUGUCUGGGAAACUGCCUGAUGGAGGGGGAUAACUACUGGAAACGGUAGCUAAUACCGCAUAACGUCGCAAGACCAAAGAGGGGGACCUUCGGGCCUCUUGCCAUCGGAUGUGCCCAGAUGGGAUUAGCUAGUAGGUGGGGUAACGGCUCACCUAGGCGACGAUCCCUAGCUGGUCUGAGAGGAUGACCAGCCACACUGGAACUGAGACACGGUCCAGACUCCUACUGGAGGCAGCAUG
This 256-nucleotide ribosomal RNA is filed under the name uncultured bacterium. RNAcentral's name for it is "partial 16S ribosomal RNA". It matches the Rfam family "Bacterial small subunit ribosomal RNA", at positions 96 to 353 of the family's 1533-position model. The record is from RNAcentral.